This 317-nucleotide RNase P RNA is filed under the name marine eukaryotic metagenome. RNAcentral describes it as "Bacterial RNase P class A". It matches the Rfam family "Bacterial RNase P class A", at positions 34 to 359 of the family's 367-position model. From Rfam's summary of the family: Ribonuclease P (RNase P) is a ubiquitous endoribonuclease, found in archaea, bacteria and eukarya as well as chloroplasts and mitochondria. Its best characterised activity is the generation of mature 5'-ends of tRNAs by cleaving the 5'-leader elements of precursor-tRNAs. The record is from RNAcentral.
UGUUUACAAGAGGAAAGUCCGGACAGCAUAGAGCAGCAUGCUUCCUAACAGGAAGGGUUCACAAAGGUGAAUACAGCUAGUGCCACAGAAAAAAUACGGCCAUUUGGCAAAGGUGAAAAGGUGAGGUAAGAGCUCACCGUACCAAUGGUGACAUUGGUAGCAAGGUAAACCUCAUGCGCUGAAAGACCAAAUAAACCAGGGUAGGUAAAACUGAAGAGUUGCUCGCUCAACCUGGAGGGUAGGUUGAUUGAGUUAUUUAGUGAUAAAUAACCUAGAUAAAUGAUGAGCCUCGACAGAAUCCGGCUUACAGGUUUGGC